AAUAGAUACCCUGGUAGUCCACGCCGUAAACGAUGAGUGCUAAGUGUUGGGGGGUUUCCGCCCCUCAGUGCUGCAGCUAACGCAUUAAGCACUCCGCCUGGGGAGUACGGUCGCAAGACUGAAACUCAAAGGAAUUGACGGGGGCCCGCACAAGCGGUGGAGCAUGUGGUUUAAUUCGAAGCAACGCGAAGAACCUUACCAGGUCUUGACAUCCCGGUGACCACUAUGGAGACAUAGUUUCCCCUUCGGGGGCAACGGUGACAGGUGGUGCAUGGUUGUCGUCAGCUCGUGUCGUGAGAUGUUGGGUUAAGUCCCGCAACGAGCGCAACCCUUAUUCUUAGUUGCCAUCAUUCAGUUGGGCACUCUAAGGAGACUGCCGGUGAUAAACCGGAGGAAGGUGGGGAUGACGUCAAAUCAUCAUGCCCCUUAUGACCUGGGCUACACACGUGCUACAAUGGACGGUACAAACGGUUGCCAACCCGCGAGGGGGAGCUAAUCCGAUAAAACCGUUCUCAGUUCGGAUUGUAGGCCGCAACUCGCCUACA
RNAcentral lists this ribosomal RNA (545 nucleotides) under uncultured bacterium. RNAcentral describes it as "bacterial SSU rRNA". It matches the Rfam family "Bacterial small subunit ribosomal RNA", at positions 777 to 1320 of the family's 1533-position model. The record is from RNAcentral.